RNAcentral lists this ribosomal RNA (520 nucleotides) under uncultured beta proteobacterium. Its description in RNAcentral is "bacterial SSU rRNA". It matches the Rfam family "Bacterial small subunit ribosomal RNA", at positions 1 to 526 of the family's 1533-position model. The record is from RNAcentral. Lineage: Bacteria; Pseudomonadati; Pseudomonadota; Betaproteobacteria.
UAGGGUUUGAUCAUGGCUCAGAUUGAACGCUGGCGGAAUGCUUUACACAUGCAAGUCGAACGGUAGAGGGGGCAACCCCUUGAGAGUGGCGAACGGGUGAGUAAUGUAUCGGAACGUGCCCAGUCGUGGGGGAUAACGUAGUGAAAAUUACGCUAAUACCGCAUACGAUCUAUGGAUGAAAGCGGGGGAUCGCAAGACCUCGCGCGAUUGGAGCGGCCGAUAUCAGAUUAGGUAGUUGGUAGGGUAAAGGCCUACCAAGCCAACGAUCUGUAGCUGGUCUGAGAGGACGACCAGCCACACUGGAACUGAGACACGGUCCAGACUCCUACGGGAGGCAGCAGUGGGGAAUUUUGGACAAUGGGCGAAAGCCUGAUCCAGCCAUUCCGCGUGCAGGAUGAAGGCCCUCGGGUUGUAAACUGCUUUUGUACAGAACGAAAAGGUUUCUAUUAAUACUAGGAGCUCAUGACGGUACUGUAAGAAUAAGCACCGGCUAACUACGUGCCAGCCGCCGCGGUAAUAC